AGAAGCUGAGGGAGGGAAACAACGGCCGCAGCGCCACUGAGAGGUCUACGCCCUUUACCCAGAACUGAAAAACAUCCACAUGGGUCAAAAUGACCCCUUUCCCAGUUCCAGAGUUACCCAAACGGCCCACAGCGGCACUCAUUCUGAUGAAGCUACACUAAAGUAUUUUAUAUUUAGAAGAAAGAUGAUCAGAGAGUAAACAUCACAGUUACUCCAAAUUCUGACCAUGGCUUGACAAUAAAUUCAUCACCUGGAAAGUUGUGGAAAUUCCAAUUAUCUGCAAGCUGGCAUUCAGCAGCCUUUCCUACAGUUAACUCGGGCCAUGUGACUAAGUUUUCACUGGUAGAAUGGGGCUGGAGUGACAUUUGCCCUACAGCUGCCAUGCACAGAUCUGCCCAAGCUCUUUGCCCUUCUGACUGACUGGGAGGGCCACACUCAGGGUGACCUUGGAAUUCAGUUGUUGGAACCACCAUAAGUCUAAGGACUUUAAUGAAGACUGAAGCUGAGUCCUUCCUCUCUCCCCCUAAACCUGGAACUCUUAUGUGAGUGAGAAUAAAACAAAUUAUUUAAGCCACUGUACAGUAGUCUCAGCUUAUGUUCAGGGGAAAUGUCCUGAGACCCCCAGUGGAUGCCUGAAACCACAGAUACUACCGAACUCUGAUAUGUACUAUGUUUUUCCUAUACUUACAUACCUAUGAUAAAGUUCAAUUUAUAAAUUAUGCACAGUAAGAAAUU
Long non-coding RNA from Artibeus jamaicensis (Jamaican fruit-eating bat), 735 nucleotides. RefSeq lists it as uncharacterized. Lineage: Eukaryota; Metazoa; Chordata; Mammalia; Chiroptera; Phyllostomidae. The transcript is spliced from 3 exons. The record is from RefSeq and is a predicted model, not a curated record.